CCCCUACGGGGUGCAGCAGGCGCGAAACCUCUGCAAUGCGCGAAAGCGCGACAGGGCCACCCCGAGUGCUAGCCGCUGAGGUUAGCUUUUCCUUAGUGUAGUAAGCUAAGGGAAUAAGCGGGGGGCAAGCCUGGUGUCAGCCGCCGCGGUAAUACCAGCUCCGCGAGUGGUCGGGACGAUUAUUGGGCCUAAAGCGUCCGUAGCCGGCCUAUCAAGUCUCUGGUUAAACCUCAAGGCUCAACCUUGAGAUCGCUGGAGAUACUGUUAGGCUAGGGGGCGGGAGAGGUUGAGGGUACUCCGCGGGUAGGGGCGAAAUCCUAUAAUCCGCGAAGGACCACCAGUGGCGAAGGCGCUCAACUGGAACGCGCCCGACGGUGAGGGACGAAAGCCAGGGGAGCAAAGGGGAUUAGAUACCCCCGUAGUCCUGGCUGUAAACGAUGCGGGCUAGGUGUUGGGUUGGCUUCGUGCCAACCCGGUGCCGCAGUGAAGACGAUAAGCCCGCCGCCUGGGAAGUACGGCUGCAAGGCUGAAACUUAAAGGAAUUGGCGGGGGAGCACCACAAGGGGUGAAGCCUGCGGUUUAAUUGGAGUCAACGCCGGGAAUCUUACCGGGAGCGACAGCAAGAUGAAGGCCAAGCUGACGACUUUGCUAGAUGGGCUGAGAAGAAGUGCAUGGCC
RNAcentral lists this ribosomal RNA (677 nucleotides) under uncultured Thermoprotei archaeon. RNAcentral describes it as "bacterial SSU rRNA". It matches the Rfam family "Archaeal small subunit ribosomal RNA", at positions 319 to 999 of the family's 1478-position model. Lineage: Archaea; Thermoproteati; Thermoproteota; Thermoprotei. The record is from RNAcentral.